AACCUAGCACACCUGCGGUGUGUACCUGCGGAGGGAUCAUCAACAAGGAUGUUAUAUCCGAGGUAUUCGUGGAUUAUUUGUAUUUGAUGGUGGGACUUUCCACCAGCAAUCAUAUAACUAUCUAAUAAAUUAACCUAAAACAAUACAAAACAUAUACAACUUUCAACAACGGAUCU
Molecule: unclassified non-coding RNA, 176 nt
Filed under: soil metagenome
Description: partial contains 5.8S ribosomal RNA, internal transcribed spacer 2, and large subunit ribosomal RNA
Source: RNAcentral